This 211-nucleotide long non-coding RNA is filed under the name Hordeum vulgare. RNAcentral describes it as "long non-coding RNA (HVUL_LNC002746)". Lineage: Eukaryota; Viridiplantae; Streptophyta; Magnoliopsida; Poales; Poaceae. The record is from RNAcentral.
UAUGAUACGAACAUUACGGGCAGCCUUAAUGAGUGCCAUUUCCGUGCCGACAGUUGUGAUUAGCCCGCACCCCAUUCGUCUCCCUCCCUCUCUACCAGUCUCCUCUCCUCCACGUAUCCAUCGCCGACCCAAGCAGCAAGCAAACCGUCAAACCCAACCCAACCCCCGCCGGCGAGACCGCCGGAGCCAUCAACCAUGGGCACAUACAAGN